This 384-nucleotide ribosomal RNA is filed under the name uncultured bacterium. RNAcentral's name for it is "bacterial SSU rRNA". It matches the Rfam family "Bacterial small subunit ribosomal RNA", at positions 28 to 414 of the family's 1533-position model. The record is from RNAcentral.
GACGAACGCUGGCGGCGUGCUUAACACAUGCAAGUCGAGCGGUAAGGCCCUUUCGGGGGUACACGAGCGGCGAACGGGUGAGUAACACGUGGGUGACCUGCCCUCAGCUCUGGGAUAAGCCUGGGAAACCGGGUCUAAUACCGGAUAUGACUCCAUGACGCAUGUUGUGGGGUGGAAAGCCUUGUGCGGCUGAGGAUGGGCCCGCGGCCUAUCAGCUUGUUGGUGGGGUGAUGGCCUACCAAGGCGACGACGGGUAGCCGGCCUGAGAGGGCGACCGGCCACACUGGGACUGAGACACGGCCCAGACUCCUACGGGAGGCAGCAGUGGGGAACCUUGCGCAAGUGGCGAAAGCCUGACGCAGCGACGCCGCGUGAGGAUGACGG